This 252-nucleotide ribosomal RNA is filed under the name uncultured bacterium. Its description in RNAcentral is "partial 16S ribosomal RNA". It matches the Rfam family "Bacterial small subunit ribosomal RNA", at positions 524 to 776 of the family's 1533-position model. The record is from RNAcentral.
UACGUAGGGAGCAAGCGUUGUCCGGAAUCAUUGGGCGUAAAGCGCGCGUAGGUGGCCAUGUAAGUCCGCUGUGAAAGUCAAAGGCUCAACCUUUGAAAGCCGGUGGAUACUGCAUGGCUAGAGUACGGAAGAGGCGAGUGGAAUUCCUGGUGUAGCGGUGGAAUGCGCAGAUAUCAGGAGGAACACCAAUAGCGAAGGCAGCUCGCUGGGACGUACUGACACUGAGGCGCGAAAGCGUGGGGAGCGAACAGG